This is a long non-coding RNA of Siniperca chuatsi (mandarin fish), 849 nucleotides long. RefSeq lists it as uncharacterized. Lineage: Eukaryota; Metazoa; Chordata; Actinopteri; Centrarchiformes; Sinipercidae. The record is from RefSeq and is a predicted model, not a curated record. The transcript is spliced from 3 exons.
UUUUGUUCGGUGUCUGAUUGUCAUUGUACCUAUGUGUCAAGCUUUCGUAAAGUGUCCCGGCCUUGGUUUCCUUGUGUGUUCUUUUGGACUUAUCUUUGGCUUCUCUUGGACCUUGCAUGGAUUUUGGACUUUGCCUGCUCCCUGUCUGAAUUGUUUUGCCCCUGUUGGACUGCCUAAAGUCUAUUUUUCUUUAAAAAUAAAGGGGAUGACAUGCAGCAAAGGGCGGCAGGUUGGAUUCCACACCGGGCCGCUGUGGUAGGGACUCAGCCUUGCUGAGGCACGCACUGUACCAGGCUGAAGAGGUGAAGCCCCAUCUGAAGACUCAUAUGAAGUGGAAGAAGGCAUUUUCGAUAGGAAGUCAAACAUGCUGGUGGAAAUUUAUUCCAUCAUAUUUUCAAAAGCCUUCCUCCGCUCUGUGAAGCACUGCCCGCAUAGAGUCACUGUGUACUGUUACUGGAAAAAUACACAAUGUUUUUCAAAGAGUCUAGAUCUUAAAAAGAAAACAUUUAUAUUGUAUAACAAGCUGUUGCCAGCCCCAGGUUUGUGUAACCAGAUUAUCACUGUUCACCAUUUAUUUGUAUGUUCUAUUUAGUUUAUGUAGUAUGCUUUUUAAUAUUGUCGUCAUUCAUUUUACAAGUUAUAUAUAAAUAAGAUUGUAUAAGGAAGUUCACAAGAUGCGACUAAAAAAAUUUUUUUUUAAAGUAAGGUCUACUUGUGAUACGAAUUUCAUGCCAUUUCCAGGGUCAAGAACGGACCUUCAAGCUUAAUAUAAUUAUUUCACUGCAAAAUCAUGUAAUUUAAUGAUUAAUUGGAAUGUAAUAAAGGCAUUUUCAUGGGACAUGAAAAAAA